The sequence is a transfer RNA, 73 nucleotides long. It matches the Rfam family "tRNA". Rfam says of the family: Transfer RNA (tRNA) molecules are approximately 80 nucleotides in length. Their secondary structure includes four short double-helical elements and three loops (D, anti-codon, and T loops). Further hydrogen bonds mediate the characteristic L-shaped molecular structure. tRNAs have two regions of fundamental functional importance: the anti-codon, which is responsible for specific mRNA codon recognition, and the 3' end, to which the tRNAs corresponding amino acid is attached (by aminoacyl-tRNA synthetases). tRNAs cope with the degeneracy of the genetic code in two manners: having more than one tRNA (with a specific anti-codon) for a particular amino acid; and 'wobble' base-pairing, i.e. permitting non-standard base-pairing at the 3rd anti-codon position. The record is from Rfam.
GGGCUUAUAGCUCAGCUGGAAGAGCGCGGCCUUUGCAAGGCCGAGGCCGGGGGUUCAAAUCCCCCUGAGUCCA